AUAUUAUAAAAACAGGAAGACUGGCUGUGGGAGGCAGUCUCCCUGAAAGACUGGCAUUCUCCUUCCUGUGAUGGAAAGAGGCUCUGUUGGUCACUUUCAUAGUGACCUCAAUAUUGCCCCCAUCCUCUAAGUAGCAGAAUGUGUCUUCAGGCAUAGGUGUGCCUUCCUGCAGCCCCAGGGAUCGAAUUACUCUCACCUGUUCCUUUGUAGAUAUUACCCCUUUGCCCUGUUUGGAAUAGAAUGUUCCAUGGAAACACCCUUUGUGUGUCCCCUUCUCUUGCUCUGCCUUUGGGUGUGGCCUUCCUAGAUGUUAGUCAGCCUGCUGACAGUAGACAUCAUGAAGCUAGACUCAACCCCCUGACACCUGAUCCCUUGCCUUAUUUGAAUGGCCUCUCCUCAAUAAAAGGGUUCAGCAUGCACUUCCUUGCUGUCUUUCUGUGGACCCUUAAGGUCAGAGGAGCCGUCCCAGGACCCCCAAAGGGACCCUGCUCCCUCCCCCCUUCCCCCUUCCUGCAAGAGCCUGCUAACCCUGAGGCCGACAUCUCCACCCACCUGCACUCUGACCACAGUGCUCACAGACUUUCUGAAUAUGUAGAGGGGCCUGCCAAUUCCAGGAGCUGGAGGCAAUGUGUCUGGUCCUCCUGGCCCCUCCCCUCUGUGGUUCUUGAGGUUUUGAAGCUUUUUCUCCACCUUCAAUAGCAUGGGCUAAGCCCACCCCCAAUGCAUAACCCAG
Molecule: long non-coding RNA, 733 nt
Filed under: Marmota monax (woodchuck)
Lineage: Eukaryota; Metazoa; Chordata; Mammalia; Rodentia; Sciuridae
Source: RNAcentral